GUGAGGAAUAUUGCGCAAUGGAGGCAACUCUGACGCAGCCAUGCCGCGUGCAGGAAGAAGGCGCUACGCGUUGUAAACUGCUUUUAACCGGGAAGAAACCCCAGGACGUGUCCUGGGUUGACGGUACCGGAGGAAUAAGCACCGGCUAACUUCGUGCCAGCAGCCGCGGUAAUACGAAGGGUGCAAGCGUUAUCCGGAUUCAUUGGGUUUAAAGGGUGCGUAGGCGGAGCGUUAAGUCUGUGGUGAAAUCCUGCAGCUUAACUGUAGACUUGCAAUUGAUACUGGCGCUCUUGAGUGCGCUUGAAGUGGACGGAAUGUGCCGUGUAGCGGUGAAAUGCUUAGAUAUGGCACAGAACACCAAUUGCGAAGGCAGCUCACUAAGGCGAUACUGACGCUGAGGCACGAAAGCGUGGGGAUCGAACAGGAUUAGAUACCCUAGUAGUCC
This 445-nucleotide ribosomal RNA is filed under the name uncultured bacterium. RNAcentral describes it as "partial 16S ribosomal RNA". It matches the Rfam family "Bacterial small subunit ribosomal RNA", at positions 354 to 796 of the family's 1533-position model. The record is from RNAcentral.